UACGUAGGGUGCGAGCGUUGUCCGGAAUUAUUGGGUGUAAAGGGCUCGUAGGCGGUUUGUCGCGUCGGGAGUGAAAACUCAGGGCUUAACCCUGAGCCUGCUUCCGAUACGGGCAGACUAGAGGUAUGCAGGGGAGAACGGAAUUCCUGGUGUAGCGGUGAAAUGCGCAGAUAUCAGGAGGAACACCGGUGGCGAAGGCGGUUCUCUGGGCAUUACCUGACGCUGAGGAGCGAAAGUGUGGGGAGCGAACAGG
Molecule: ribosomal RNA, 253 nt
Filed under: uncultured bacterium
Lineage: Bacteria
Description: partial 16S ribosomal RNA
Rfam family: Bacterial small subunit ribosomal RNA
Source: RNAcentral